CAGUAGCCGCGGGAAUACGUAGGGUGCGAGCGUUAAUCGGAAUUACUGGGCGUAAAGCGUGCGCAGGCGGUUGUGUAAGACAGGUGUGAAAUCCCCGGGCUUAACCUGGGAACUGCGCUUGUGACUGCACAGCUAGAGUAUGGCAGAGGGGGGUGGAAUUCCACGUGUAGCAGUGAAAUGCGUAGAGAUGUGGAGGAACACCGAUGGCGAAGGCAGCCCCCUGGGCCAAUACUGACGCUCAUGCACGAAAGCGUAGGGAGCAAACAGGAUUAGAUACCCCGGUAGUCCCUGUCUCUUAUAC
RNAcentral lists this ribosomal RNA (301 nucleotides) under uncultured bacterium. Its description in RNAcentral is "partial 16S ribosomal RNA". It matches the Rfam family "Bacterial small subunit ribosomal RNA", at positions 509 to 807 of the family's 1533-position model. The record is from RNAcentral.